RNAcentral lists this ribosomal RNA (468 nucleotides) under uncultured bacterium. Its description in RNAcentral is "partial 16S ribosomal RNA". It matches the Rfam family "Bacterial small subunit ribosomal RNA", at positions 28 to 507 of the family's 1533-position model. The record is from RNAcentral.
GACGAACGCUGGCGGCGUGCUUAACACAUGCAAGUCGAACGGAAAGGCCCUGCUUUUGUGGGGUGCUCGAGUGGCGAACGGGUGAGUAACACGUGAGUAACCUGCCCUUGAUUUUGGGAUAACUUCAGGAAACUGGGGCUAAUACCGGAUAGGAGCUCUUGCUGCAUGGUGGGGGUUGGAAAGUUUCGGCGGUUGGGGAUGGACUCGCGGCUUAUCAGCUUGUUGGUGGGGUAGUGGCUUACCAAGGCUUUGACGGGUAGCCGGCCUGAGCGGGUGACCGGCCACAUUGGGACUGAGAGACGGCCCAGACUCCUACGGGAGGCAGCAGUGGGGAAUAUUGCACAAUGGGCGGAAGCCUGAUGCAGCAACGCCGCGUGCGGGAUGACGGCCUUCGGGUUGUAAACCGCUUUCGCCUGUGACGAAGCGUGAGUGACGGUAAUGGGUAAAGAAGCACCGGCUAACUACGUG